Molecule: ribosomal RNA, 253 nt
Filed under: uncultured bacterium
Lineage: Bacteria
Description: partial 16S ribosomal RNA
Rfam family: Bacterial small subunit ribosomal RNA
Source: RNAcentral
UACGAAGGGGGCGAGCGUUGUUCGGAUUUACUGGGCGUAAAGGGCGCGCAGGCGGCUUUGUUUGUCAGGCGUGAAAGCCCCGGGCUUAACCUGGGAACUGCGUUUGAUACGGCAGGGCUAGGGUUCGGGAGAGGAGAGUGGAAUUCCUAGUGUAGAGGUGAAAUUCGUAGAUAUUCGCAAGAACACCAGUGGCGAAGGCGGCCAACUGGUCCGGAACUGAUGCUGAGGUGCGAAAGCGUGGGGAGCAAACAGG